Molecule: long non-coding RNA, 332 nt
Filed under: Homo sapiens (human)
Lineage: Eukaryota; Metazoa; Chordata; Mammalia; Primates; Hominidae
Description: HSALNT0051431
Source: RNAcentral
AUCAUUGGCAGAUCACUUAACCCUGUUGAGUAUUGGUUUCCGUGUCUCAUGUGAGAAUAAUAAUCACAUUCCUUUGUCCCACAGUUGGGUGAAGAUACAAUGAGAAAAUGUAUGGUUAAGCAGUCAAAUGCUAGGCAUGUAUCAGUCAUUAGCACCGUGAUUGAGCUAUACAUUGUGGCACAAUGAAAUGAGAGCUGAGGCUCAGAAUGAGGAAAACCAACCUGAAUCAGUAAAGAGCCAAAACGACAUUCUGGUUUUUUGUUUGUUUGUUUGUUUGUUUUUUUAAGAGACAGUUGAAUACAGUUUGAGUACUAGGAGAUGGUGAAUAAAAU